UACGUAGGAGGCGAGCGUUGUCCGGAGUACUGGGCGUAAAGCGCACGCAGGCGUCAGAUCAGUCUGGAGUGACAGUCUCGGCUUAACCGACGAAGUGUUCUGGAAACUGUCUGACUUGAGGGCUUCAGAGGGACACGGAAUUCCGGGUGGAGUGGUGAAAUGCGUAGAUAUCCGGAGGAACACCAAUGGCGAAGGCAGUGUCCUGGGAAGUACCUGACGCUCAGGUGCGAAAGCUAGGGGAGCGA
This 245-nucleotide ribosomal RNA is filed under the name uncultured Ktedonobacter sp. RNAcentral describes it as "partial 16S ribosomal RNA". It matches the Rfam family "Bacterial small subunit ribosomal RNA", at positions 524 to 771 of the family's 1533-position model. The record is from RNAcentral. Lineage: Bacteria; Bacillati; Chloroflexota; Ktedonobacteria; Ktedonobacterales; Ktedonobacteraceae.